GAUGAACGCUGGCGGCGUGCCUAAUACAUGCAAGUCGAGCGAACAGACGAGGAGCUUGCUCCUCUGACGUUAGCGGCGGACGGGUUAGUAACACGUGGAUAACCUACCUAUAAGACUGGGAUAACUUCGGGAACCCGGAGCUAAUACCGGAUAAUAUAUUGAACCGCAUGGUUCAAUAGUGAAAGACGGUUUUGCUGUCACUUAUAGAUGGAUCCGCGCCGCAUUAGCUAGUUGGUAAGGUAACGGCUUACCAAGGCAACGAUGCGUAGCCGACCUGAGAGGGUGAUCGGCCACACUGGAACUGAGACACGGUCCAGACUCCUACGGGAGGCAGCAGUAGGGAAUCUUCCGCAAUGGGCGAAAGCCUGACGGAGCAACGCCGCGUGAGUGAUGAAGGUCUUCGGAUCGUAAAACUCUGUUAUUAGGGAAGAACAAAUGUGUAAGUAACUAUGCACGUCUUGACGGUACCUAAUCAGAAAGCCACGGCUAACUACGUG
This 497-nucleotide ribosomal RNA is filed under the name uncultured bacterium. RNAcentral's name for it is "partial 16S ribosomal RNA". It matches the Rfam family "Bacterial small subunit ribosomal RNA", at positions 28 to 507 of the family's 1533-position model. The record is from RNAcentral.